RNAcentral lists this long non-coding RNA (1106 nucleotides) under Macaca fascicularis (crab-eating macaque). RNAcentral describes it as "lncRNA (ENSMFAG00000047312.1)". The record is from RNAcentral. Lineage: Eukaryota; Metazoa; Chordata; Mammalia; Primates; Cercopithecidae.
UAUAUAAAGAACUCAAGAGUAGAAUAAUCUGAUCUAUUUACUCAGAUAUUUACCAUUUCUACUGCUUUUCCUUUGUUCCAGGUUUCCUGAAGUUUUCUGUAACCAUUUAUUUAAACCAGCUCUUCAGGCAAUUACUCUGUGUAUUGCAUCAUCGUUAUUUCUGUUUCAUUCCUAAAGGAUAUUUUGCUGGAUACAGCAAUCUGGGUGGGCAUUUCUUUUUAUGUCAGAACUUGAAGAAUGGUCCUACAUUUCCUGUUGGCCUCUAUGGCUUCUGAGAAACCCGGUCAACUGAAUUGUUCUUCGGGAAGCACUGUGUCCAUUUUCUCAGCCUCCUCCCAAGGCUUUCACUCUGCAGCUUUCAGCGGUUCCAUGUGGUAGGUCUGGGCUUGGUCUUCUGUAGGUUCAUCCUGUCUGGGGCUCAUGGAACCUCUUCAGAGUUUUUAUCUUACACCAAAUAUGAGAAGUUUUUCAUCAUGAUUUUUUCAAGUGGUUUUACUACAUCACACUUUCUCCUUUCCUUCCAGGAUUCUGAGGCCAUGAAUGUCAGCCAUUUUGUGUCAUAACACUGCUCCCCAAGGCUGUUGCACCUAUGCUGAAUAAUUUCAGAUUGUAGUCUAGACACUUUGGAAUUUCACAUUAUGACACUCUGGGUCUGUAAAUCCCAUGGGUGAUGGAGAUAUUGGUUAAUCAGGUGAGUGACCUACUUAGGUUCAGGAGGCAAGUUUUAUUGAACAUUGUGUGGGUUGUGCUUUCAAUGUCAAUUCCAUUCUCAAAGCCUAUGCAGAGGUGCUCGUGUCUCUUCUAGGGGCGGGGCUUGUCCACCCACAGAGUGGUCAACCUCACAGGCCAGCUCCUAAGGCCAAUGAUGUCUUUGCUGCUGCAGGACUGCCUGGAGACCAGGGCAAGUGAACGGGAAAAACUAAACUUUGGGAUUUUUCUCUCUUACUAGUGUUAGGACACCUGUUUCCCACUGGUUGUGUGAAAACAGAAGUCGGCAUGAGUCCCCCAUCUGGAGCCUAGCGGAUGCUGGUGCCAUGCUUUUGGGACCUUCCGGCCUUCAGAAUUGUGAACCAAAUAAAUCUCUUUUCUUCAUUAAAAAAACAGAG